Molecule: ribosomal RNA, 484 nt
Filed under: uncultured bacterium
Lineage: Bacteria
Description: partial 16S ribosomal RNA
Rfam family: Bacterial small subunit ribosomal RNA
Source: RNAcentral
CUUUCCCUCUUUCUUCCGGCCUAACACAUGCAAGUCGAGCGGAUGAAGGGAGCUUGCUCCUGGCUUCAGCGGCGGACGGGUGAGUAAUGCCUAGGAAUCUGCCUGGUAGUGGGGGAUAACGUCCGGAAACGGGCGCUAAUACCGCAUACGUCCUGAGGGAGAAAGUGGGGGAUCUUCGGACCUCACGCUAUCAGAUGAGCCUAGGUCGGAUUAGCUAGUUGGUGGGGUAAAGGCCUACCAAGGCGACGAUCCGUAACUGGUCUGAGAGGAUGAUCAGUCACACUGGAACUGAGACACGGUCCAGACUCCUACGGGAGGCAGCAGUGGGGAAUAUUGGACAAUGGGCGAAAGCCUGAUCCAGCCAUGCCGCGUGUGUGAAGAAGGUCUUCGGAUUGUAAAGCACUUUAAGUUGGGAGGAAGGGCAGUAAGUUAAUACCUUGCUGUUUUGACGUUACCAACAGAAUAAGCACCGGCUAACUUCGUG